AGUGAACGCUGGCGGUAGGCCUAACACAUGCAAGUCGAACGGCAGCACAGUAAGAGCUUGCUCUUACGGGUGGCGAGUGGCGGACGGGUGAGGAAUACAUCGGAAUCUACUUUUUCGUGGGGGAUAACGUAGGGAAACUUACGCUAAUACCUCAUACGACCUACGGGUGAAAGCAGGGGAUCUUCGGACCUUGCGCGAUUGAAUGAGCCGAUGUCGGAUUAGCUAGUUGGCGGGGUAAAGGCCCACCAAGGCGACGAUCCGUAGCUGGUCUGAGAGGAUGAUCAGCCACACUGGAACUGAGACACGGUCCAGACUCCUACGGGAGGCAGCAGUGGGGAAUAUUGGACAAUGGGCGCAAGCCUGAUCCAGCCAUACCGCGUGGGUGAAGAAGGCCUUCGGGUUGUAAAGCCCCUUUGUUGGGAAAGAAAAGCAGAAGGUUAAUACCCCGCUGUUCUGACGGUACCCAAAGAAUAAGCACCGGCUAACUUCGUG
RNAcentral lists this ribosomal RNA (492 nucleotides) under uncultured bacterium. RNAcentral's name for it is "partial 16S ribosomal RNA". It matches the Rfam family "Bacterial small subunit ribosomal RNA", at positions 29 to 507 of the family's 1533-position model. The record is from RNAcentral.